RNAcentral lists this transfer RNA (89 nucleotides) under Streptomyces griseosporeus. RNAcentral's name for it is "tRNA-Ala". The record is from RNAcentral. Lineage: Bacteria; Bacillati; Actinomycetota; Actinomycetes; Kitasatosporales; Streptomycetaceae.
GGGCCGGGCAGCCGGCGGGACAUCACCUGACGUCCUCGCGAGACGACGCGUCUUGUGGGGCUGGUAUGUUCGGGACAUGCCCGACCCGC